RNAcentral lists this ribosomal RNA (576 nucleotides) under uncultured bacterium. Its description in RNAcentral is "partial 16S ribosomal RNA". It matches the Rfam family "Bacterial small subunit ribosomal RNA", at positions 355 to 920 of the family's 1533-position model. The record is from RNAcentral.
UGGGGAAUAUUGCACAAUGGGCGCAAGCCUGAUGCAGCCAUGCCGCGUGUGUGAAGAAGGCCUUCGGGUUGUAAAGCACUUUCAGCGAGGAGGAAGGUGGUGAGCUUAAUACGCUCAUCAAUUGACGUUACUCGCAGAAGAAGCACCGGCUAACUCCGUGCCAGCAGCCGCGGUAAUACGGAGGGUGCAAGCGUUAAUCGGAAUUACUGGGCGUAAAGCGCACGCAGGCGGUUUGUUAAGUCAGAUGUGAAAUCCCCGGGCUCAACCUGGGAACUGCAUUUGAAACUGGCAAGCUAGAGUCUCGUAGAGGGGGGUAGAAUUCCAGGUGUAGCGGUGAAAUGCGUAGAGAUCUGGAGGAAUACCGGUGGCGAAGGCGGCCCCCUGGACGAAGACUGACGCUCAGGUGCGAAAGCGUGGGGAGCAAAACAGGAUUAGAUACCCUGGUAGUCCACGCUGUAAAACGAUGUCGAUUUUGGAGGUUGUGCCCUUGAGGCGUGGCUUCCGGAGCUAACGCGUUAAAUCGACCGCCUGGGGAGUACGGCCGCAAGGUUAAAACUCAAAUGAAUUGACGGGGUC